Molecule: unclassified non-coding RNA, 201 nt
Filed under: uncultured Coniochaetaceae
Lineage: Eukaryota; Fungi; Ascomycota; Sordariomycetes; Coniochaetales
Description: sequence contains ITS1
Source: RNAcentral
CAAGAAGCCGAAAGGCUGCUUAAAACCAUCGCGAACCUAUCCAUCAGCGUUGCUUCGGCGGGAGGAGGCCGCGGGGCCGGCGUCUGCCGGGCCCGGGGCCGGGGACCCGUACCCUCUCGGGGGUGCGGGGCCCGCCCGCCGGAGGUAUGAAACUCUCCUGCAUCUAUAGUUGAAUCUCUGAGUAAGCAAGCAAAUAAGUCA